Long non-coding RNA from Priapulus caudatus, 178 nucleotides. RefSeq lists it as uncharacterized. NCBI's taxonomy places the organism in Eukaryota, Metazoa, Priapulida, Priapulimorpha, Priapulimorphida, Priapulidae. The record is from RefSeq and is a predicted model, not a curated record. The transcript has 4 exons.
CGCCGCUCACACAGGGAGGAAGGAGCAGCGGUUAACGAGGGAGGCGAUGAAGAGAUACUUGAAGGAUCGGGGCGACCAGGUUCUCGUCAUCCUACACGCCAAGGUCGCGCAGAAGUCGUACGGCAACGAGAAGCGGUUCUUCUGGUCCGCCGCCGUUGCAUGGAUACCUGGUUUGGUG